CACGUAGGGCGCAAGCGUUGUCCGGAAUUAUUGGGCGUAAAGAGCUCGUAGGUGGUUUGUUACGUCUGCUGUGAAAACCUAGGGCUUAACCCUGGGCUUGCAGUAGAUACGGGCAGACUAGAGGUAGGUAGGGGAGAAUGGAAUUCCUGGUGUAGCGGUGAAAUGCGCAGAUAUCAGGAGGAACACCGGUGGCGAAGGCGGUUCUCUGGGCCUUACCUGACACUGAGGAGCGAAAGCGUGGGGAGCGAACAGG
Molecule: ribosomal RNA, 253 nt
Filed under: uncultured bacterium
Lineage: Bacteria
Description: partial 16S ribosomal RNA
Rfam family: Bacterial small subunit ribosomal RNA
Source: RNAcentral